This 681-nucleotide ribosomal RNA is filed under the name Triticum aestivum (bread wheat). RNAcentral's name for it is "partial small subunit ribosomal RNA". Lineage: Eukaryota; Viridiplantae; Streptophyta; Magnoliopsida; Poales; Poaceae. The record is from RNAcentral.
AUGGAACCCUCGUUCGAUGACGUCCCCGAGGUCGUCGGCUGGAUGUCGUCGAUGGUCGACCGCGGCGGCCGCGCGAGCCAGGAGAGCCACCGGCUGUUCCUGGCGCGGCGCACGGCGCUCGAGAUGCUGCGGGACCGCGGGUACAGCGUGCCGGAGUCCGAGCUCGCCCGCACGCUCCCGGAGUUCCGUGCGUGGUGGGCUCCGGAGCCCGAGGUCGAGCGCCUCACCUUUUCCACCUUCCUCGCCUCCGACCAUUCCGACAAGGUGAAAAUUCUAUUCUGUGGACCAGAACCUGUCAAAAUCGCAACUAUCCAGGAGAUAUAUGACCAGAUCGAAGGAGAGAACUUGUCCAGACUUAUUUUGAUAUUGCAGGGAAAGAUAAUGCCUAGAGCUAAAGAGUCUGUUAAGGAGAAAUUCACAUUUAAAGUAGAUAUUUUUCAGGUCAAUGAGUUACUGGUUAACAUUAGUAAGCAUGCCCUGAAGCCCAAGCAUGAAGUGUUGACUGCAGAAGAAAAGGCCAGGCUCCUGAAGAAGUACAAUGUGCAGGAUUCACAGCUCCCUCGCAUGCUAGAGACCGAUCCUGUUGCUCGCUACUAUGGCCUCGGCAAGGGAACCGUGCUUAAAGUUACAUAUGACAGUGAGCUUACUGGGAACCAUGUGACAUACCGAUGUAUUUUCUGA